UCAGUCGACUCCUACGGGGAGGCAGCAGUGGGGAAUAUUGCACAAUGGGGGAAACCCUGAUGCAGCCAUGCCGCGUGUGUGAAGAAGGCCUUCGGGUUGUAAAGCACUUUCAGUAGGGAGGAAGGUAGUGUAGUUAACACCUGCACUAUUUGACGUUACCUACAGAAGAAGCACCGGCUAACUCCGUGCCAGCAGCCGCGGUAAUACGGAGGGUGCGAGCGUUAAUCGGAAUUACUGGGCGUAAAGCGCAUGCUGGCGGCCUGUUAAGUCAGAUGUGAAAGCCCGGGGCUUAACCUCGGAAUUGCAUUUGAAACUGGCAGGCUAGAGUCUUGUAGAGGGGGGUAGGAAUUUCAGGUGUAGCGGUGAAAUGCGUAGAGAUCUGAAGGAAUACCAGUGGCGAAGGCGGCCCCCUGGACAAAGACUGACGCUCAGAUGCGAAAGCGUGGGGAGCAAACAGGAUUAGAUACCCUGGUAG
Molecule: ribosomal RNA, 475 nt
Filed under: uncultured bacterium
Lineage: Bacteria
Description: bacterial SSU rRNA
Rfam family: Bacterial small subunit ribosomal RNA
Source: RNAcentral